RNAcentral lists this ribosomal RNA (598 nucleotides) under Staphylococcus sp. CM7T-NA-A. RNAcentral's name for it is "bacterial SSU rRNA". It matches the Rfam family "Bacterial small subunit ribosomal RNA", at positions 70 to 651 of the family's 1533-position model. Lineage: Bacteria; Bacillati; Bacillota; Bacilli; Caryophanales; Staphylococcaceae. The record is from RNAcentral.
CAGACGAGGAGCUUGCUCCUCUGACGUUAGCGGCGGACGGGUGAGUAACACGUGGAUAACCUACCUAUAAGACUGGGAUAACUUCGGGAAACCGGAGCUAAUACCGGAUAAUAUAUUGAACCGCAUGGUUCAAUAGUGAAAGACGGUUUUGCUGUCACUUAUAGAUGGAUCCGCGCCGCAUUAGCUAGUUGGUAAGGUAACGGCUUACCAAGGCAACGAUGCGUAGCCGACCUGAGAGGGUGAUCGGCCACACUGGAACUGAGACACGGUCCAGACUCCUACGGGAGGCAGCAGUAGGGAAUCUUCCGCAAUGGGCGAAAGCCUGACGGAGCAACGCCGCGUGAGUGAUGAAGGUCUUCGGAUCGUAAAACUCUGUUAUUAGGGAAGAACAAAUGUGUAAGUAACUAUGCACGUCUUGACGGUACCUAAUCAGAAAGCCACGGCUAACUACGUGCCAGCAGCCGCGGUAAUACGUAGGUGGCAAGCGUUAUCCGGAAUUAUUGGGCGUAAAGCGCGCGUAGGCGGUUUUUUAAGUCUGAUGUGAAAGCCCACGGCUCAACCGUGGAGGGUCAUUGGAAACUGGAAAACUUGAGUGCAG